GGGGGCAUUCACUGAGUUGCCUUUGUACGCAGGGAAGACCAAGCCGGAGGCUCCCACUAUGAGCUGGGAUCUGUGCAGCCGGAUCACACAUGAGAUGCCUUUUUGGAAACAAACAUCUAAAUGAUUUGCCUUCAGUCAGAAGAUAUAACAGAAAGCGGCUACAUGUUUUGAAUUUAACUCUUGCCAUCUGAAUACUUCCUGGAGCAUUUUUGUUUCCAGGACCCUUGGGAAUCUGAGAAUUCAGAAGAGCAGCAUGGCUUUGAAUGCAGCCUGUAGCACAGCUGACACUUGUCCAGUGCUUCUUCUUGGUCAGGCCAUGCUCCGAAAUCUUUAAGUAUUUCUUCCAGAACUUGCUUACAUCCAGAUGAGAUUGAACUUCUGUGUGGCAGCGCUAGCACCAUAUCUCUACUUAGCAAUUCCUUGACUUUGAAUCUAUCUGCCAUUUGCCUUAGCCAGCUGCCACCCAAGAUUGGACUAAGCCCUCUGGCCCUCGUUAAAAGGAAAAAGAAGAAGAAGAAAAAAAAGAAAAUACACACAACAUAAUUCUCUAAUACGCAUACUCCCAACUUCUAUGCAAGGCGCUUAAGCAAAUGAAAAGGUUAAUAUAUGCUAGCUAGAUGUUAGGUAUAGAAUGUCAGCUCUGUCAGGUUUCAUUAUAACUUGCUGCUCAUUGGAAAAGAUUUGAUUUCUUUUGCCACUGUCCUACUAUGUUCAAGUCACUGACUGCCAGCAGCCCACUGAAGACCACAGGCUGGCAGCGAGCGGCUCAAGUGGGAAACCAGCCGCAAGGACCAUCUGCUUCCGAUUUCUAGCUGAGCCAAGAAGCGCAGUGAAGUGCAUUCCGUUCACCAGGCCAGCUUCUCCCCUGCUCAAGUUAUUAGUGUUACAAGUGACAUGAUCUUUUCCAAACAGCAGGGGAGCCAUAAUCCUUACAGAACAGGACUCUAAACACACAUAUGUACUUACAAAACAUACACACACCACUACCACCAGUCAGACAUCUUUUGUUAAAGUUGUGAGGAAGACUGCUUAUAAAUUUAAUCACAGCCUCAUGGAGAUUUAUAAAGUAUGUUUUAUUAAGCAUGAUAACCUAAGCAGCAAUAACAUAUAUACCAGCUUCACUGACUCUUAUUGAAUGAUCAAAUAUCUGUAGGAUUUUUUUUUGGUGGGCAUGGCUGGAAAUGCUAAGAAGCAGUCAUUUAAGUUGCCCCCAACAAAGCAUACUGUGUUUAUAGUGAUGAUCUGUCAGACCCUAGCUCGGCCAACCCAGGUGCAUCAAUCUUUUGCCAAGUGACCCAUAUUGAAGCUUACUGGCAAGCUAUUAAGUCUCAAAGGGGUCAUAUGAUUGGGGCUCACUUUAUAGUUUGGGAGAGAUAAAGAUAUGUCUUUGCUAUUGGGUGCUAUCUCAAGACUGAGCAUCUUAAGGAAAGUUUGGAGGUGAAAUUGGAAGGCUGAUGGUAGAAAUGCCAUGACAAGUGGUGACUUUAGGUAAUUAGUGUUUCUAAAUGUGUAGUUAGUAACAGGUGAUUGAUAACAUGUCAGAUGCUCAGAAUUCCAAGAAACCAGACAAGUUGCCUACCCUCCAUGAGCUCCCCAACAAUCACUGAGUAAAGAGAUGCCUUAGCAGGCAUGUGCCUGACAAUGCAGUAGAACCCUGGGGACACAGCCUUGGUUUAACACAUAUGUAGUAUGUGAAUCUGGGUUGUUUUGUGUCUUCUAUUAUAGGCAUAAUCUGUAAAAUAUAUACUUGACUGAUUGACAGGGGCUGUGAUGAAAAUUAAAUGAGUCAUCACCUAUAUAAAAGGACAAAGGUCCUAGAACAGGUUCAGUCUGGUUGGUUUCUGAUCCCUUCUAGUUAUUCUAUAGAUCCCUGAGCACCUUGAACAUCAUAGCAAGUUCUCUUUUGUGGAUGAGAGGCAGAGUAAAUCUAGAAAGGCUGCUUGUGACAUCUUAGGAUAUCAGCUGUCCUGUGGUACAUCAUCCAAAUGCUUUCCCAGAUACUAGCGUGUGGUGGUGAACAUCUGUCCACCAAACCCUCCUCUUCCCCCCACACCAGGGUAUUCACACAUAUCUGCCUAACCUAAAGGUUCUUGCCUGCAGUGGCCUCCCCUGGUUAUACUCUAGGAUUUCCAAGAGCUAGAAUUGCAGUAGUCACUAUAUACAGUUAUGAAAUAAUUAGGCUCCUAUUGGAUGCUUUUGGUUCAUGGCGAAUAAGAGAAUGACUUUUUCAAAAGUGAAAAUUGUUUACAAAACAGAGAUUAUAUACAUCCAUUAAAGUGAGGAGAUGGGAUUAAGACAAUUUGGCCAGCAAGGAAGAAUAUUUGAAGUCAUAGUUAAUGGCAUGCUCAGGGUUCCAAUCCAGGACUAUAAUUAUCAGUGACUUCCUCUACCUUGAUAGUGUUUCAAGCACAGUGUGUGUCCUGAAUUUUGUAACUGAACUGCAUUCAUCUGCAUGUAUACUCAUGUCCAUACUACUUCUGCUACUCACCCAAAAACAUAUCUGCCAGUAGAGUCUUUGUACUUGACUCAUAUUUACAAUUAACAAUUGAAGUCACCAGAAAUUCUGCAAAGCUCCCUUAUUGAUGGAAAAGCUGUGACCAGUGACCCUGGAAGGAUCCCUGAAAACAAAGUGGCAUGUGGGUGAGGCUUUUGGAGACACCUGUACAAGAAGUUUACUGGGGUAGCUGCCAGAAUCAACACCUGCAGGUUGGUGAAGGAAGAAGUACUAGAUAGGGGGCAGAGUUUUCUAACUUUUAGCAGCUUACAUCCAACAAAGACCCAGUGCAUCCUACAGGGAGCUGGAAGCUGGGUGCCCUUGCAGAAUUAACCCAAACUAGGACAACAGGAUAAGGACGUUGUACUCCUACAAUUAUCUAUUGGCCAUUGACUAAGAGAUAUUUCAUGGAGAGGGGAGAGCCUUUAGGCUAGACAAGAGGCAACGAACAAACCUGGGUUGGGGUGGAAGUCUCUGGGGAGCUGUGGGCUGGGAAAGCAUGGUGUGCUACAGGACCUGAUCAUAUCCAAGGGAGUCUCAUGAGUUACUGGAGUCUGGAGACUAUGGUCCACACUUUACUUAUUUCUCAAAUGGCAGUGAAAGGCUCCAUGCCCAUUUAGCAGAAUCUACCAUAUACAUGGAGAAGAAUCCCUCUGCUUCACAAACCCCAGGGGAUGGGCAAAAGGAAGUAUUGAGCAUGCGUUGGCUCUCCAGUUGCCCACUGGCAGUCAGCUUUCACUGCCAAUGCAAAGACUUAGGGAGUGAAUAGGAGGGGGCAGGGUCUGUUGGAGUGUGUCUCCAAGACCCUGUAUAUAGUCUUGUUUCUUUUUGACCCUCCAAAGAAUCUUCAGAAAGUUUGUGCUGACACAUUCUGGGGCACCUGCAGAAAGGAGGUAGAUUUGGGUGAAAGGCCAAUAAGAGGGAGGAAAGGGAAGCAGUGAACGAAAAAUUGGUGUUUCAUGUAUUAUUUCAGAUUUAUUUUGUUUCCAAAUAGCUUUCCCAUAGAACACCUGACCAAGGAAAAGAAAAGACCACAUAUAACAAAAUCAAAUCUGAAGCAUAAAGCAAACUUUGGAAAAUAAAUAUAAGUUCCCUUAGCUUCAUGAAAGGGAAAAUCUGACAUGGAGCUGCAAGGCUAUCAGAAUAUCUUCCUCUCCAACCUCUUCACCCAACUCUUUUAAUUUUUUUUUUUUAAAUUUUGGACUCCUUCUUGAUUGAAUUUUAAAAAUAAAUUACCCCUUAAUAUUUGAGCAGUUGUUCUCUCUGAAUGACUUGGGGUUCUUGGGACAUUCAGAACUUCUUGUUUCCUUUCCUGAGCUUUGAUAAGGCAAAUUAAACAUACUUGCUUCUGCUUCAGUCUUUGCUGUCCCAGUACAAGGCAUCAUGCCCUGCCCUUAAGAGGAGGAGCAGGUUUUCCAUACCCUCUGGGAUAAUUUCUUUCUAAUUCAAGAUGAAGUCUUUCCUCAUUCUCUCUUUGCUACUCCAUAUCUCGUUCUGAGCUUCUAUUUACAGUUGAGCUUCCUGGUAUACUUUUGUCCUUCCUCCCCACGUUUACUGAACUCCCCUUAUAUCUGGCACUUUGGGGCUCAUUGCUGACCAGUGCAAUUAUCAUCAAGUGUCCUGGGAGUAGGUAACCAGGGCAUUCUCAUUUAGCCUGAUAUACCUCUGCCCCAUGUUGGGAAAAUACAGUUUACUAAGGGAUGACAGAAAGGGGUUCUUAAGUUGGUGUGGGGUAGUGGUAAGUGUUGCUGGGUUCUAUUUAUGGCAGGAAACAACCAUGAGGCUUUUGAGAGUUUUAGGGUUGAUGGGGAACAAAGACACUUUCUGGGAGUGGGCAUAAUAGCAGGAGAGUUGGAGGCAAAAAGAAUGAGAUAAAGCUGAAUGUGGUGGCCCAUACCUGUAAUCCCAGCUCUCAAUAAGCUAAUGUAAGAGGAUCCUUGUGAACUUGAGGCCCAUUGAAAUUACAAAGUGAGUUCCAGGUCAACUUAGGGUAGAGUGAGAACCUACCUAAACAAACAAACAAAAAAAGCCAAACACACACACACACACACACACACACACACACACACACACACACAAAUAACAAUCAGGUAAGUCAUAAAAGCCUCAGGACAAGUCCAAGUUUCACAGGUCUGGACACUGUCUAUGGAGCCCAGAGUUAUACUUCCUUAUAGUUGUAGUCCCUUCAUACAUGGAGGCAUAUGCCACCAGCUCUUCUUUACAUGGCUCAGGGACUAGGAAUGGUUUUGCUUUUCUCAGUGGUUGAAAAACAACAAAAGAAGAUGAAUACAUUGUGAUGUAUCCAAUUGCAUGUAAUACAUGUUUCAUGUGUACACUAAAGCUCUCUGAACAGUCAUGUUCUAACUGGCCCUUUACAGAAACAGGCAUAUUGAACCCUGGCCCAGCUAAUGGGGCUUAAGGCUUAAAGGCCAAGUAAUUUGCAUUCAAGUUCUGGCUUUUCAUCUUCCAUGUUACC
This is a long non-coding RNA of Jaculus jaculus (lesser Egyptian jerboa), 4970 nucleotides long. RefSeq lists it as uncharacterized. The record is from RefSeq and is a predicted model, not a curated record. NCBI's taxonomy places the organism in Eukaryota, Metazoa, Chordata, Mammalia, Rodentia, Dipodidae. The transcript has 4 exons.